This 253-nucleotide ribosomal RNA is filed under the name uncultured bacterium. Its description in RNAcentral is "partial 16S ribosomal RNA". It matches the Rfam family "Bacterial small subunit ribosomal RNA", at positions 524 to 776 of the family's 1533-position model. The record is from RNAcentral.
UACGUAGGGGGCAAGCGUUGUCCGGAUUUAUUGGGCGUAAAGAGCGUGUAGGCGGCUUUACAAGUCCGUUGUGAAAACUCGAGGCUCAACCUCGAGACGCCGGUGGAAACCGUAAAGCUAGAGUCCGGAAGAGGAGAGUGGAAUUCCUGGUGUAGCGGUGAAAUGCGCAGAUAUCAGGAAGAACACCUAUGGCGAAGGCAGCUCUCUGGGACGGUACUGACGCUGAGACGCGAAAGCGUGGGGAGCAAACAGG